This 523-nucleotide ribosomal RNA is filed under the name Coelorinchus scaphopsis (shoulderspot grenadier). RNAcentral describes it as "partial 16S ribosomal RNA". The stretch from base 179 to 523 matches the Rfam family "Bacterial large subunit ribosomal RNA", at positions 569 to 1050 of the family's 2925-position model. Lineage: Eukaryota; Metazoa; Chordata; Actinopteri; Gadiformes; Macrouridae. The record is from RNAcentral.
AUACCUAAAAGCUAGCCCAGACAAUCUUAAAAUAUUUCACAAUUUAAAACUUUUAAUAUAUAAAAUAAACCAUUUAUGAGCCCCAGUAUGAGCGACAAAAAAGGAUAUCAGAGCUAUAGACACAGUACCGCAAGGGAAAGCUGAAAAAGAAAUGAAACAAAUUAUUUAAGUACCAAAUAGCAGAGAUUUCCUCCCGUACCUUUUGCAUCAUGAUUUAGCAAGUAAAAUCAAGCAAAGCGCCCUUUAGUUUGAUACCCCGAAACUAUGCGAGCUACUUCGAGACAAUCUUUUAGGAUAAACCCGUCUCUGUGGCAAAAGAGUGGGAAGAGCUUCAAGUAGAGGUGACAAACCUAUCGAGCACAGUUAUAGCUGGUUACCUGAGAAAUGGAUAAAAGUUCAGCCCUUAUAGACUUUCCCCCCCCGCCCUAAAAUUACGAUGGCACAGGAAAAUUAAGGAGUUAAACAGAAGGGGUACAGCUCUUCUGAAUAAAGAAACAACUUUAGUAGGUGAAUCAAGAUCAUA